CCCUUAGAUGUUCUGGGCGGCCCGCGCACUACAAUGGCGUGUGCAGCGAGUGCCGAAGUAGAGUUUUCCGAGGUAUUCUUGCAAUGCUCGUUUUGAUGGGGAUAGACCCUUGCAACUGUUGGUUUUGAACGAGGAAUUCCUUGUAAGCAUGGUUUAUCAUCCGACGCUGAAUGCGUCCCUGCCCUUUGUACACACCGCCCGUCGCUCCUACCGAUGAGUCGUCCGGUGAAGUUCGUAGACCUCGUGAUCGCGGAUCACUGGGGGAAGCAAAAUGAACCUCGCUGUUUAGAGGAAGGAGAAGUCGUAACA
Molecule: ribosomal RNA, 309 nt
Filed under: uncultured eukaryote
Lineage: Eukaryota
Description: partial 18S ribosomal RNA
Rfam family: Eukaryotic small subunit ribosomal RNA
Source: RNAcentral